Molecule: ribosomal RNA, 1023 nt
Filed under: Cenococcum geophilum
Lineage: Eukaryota; Fungi; Ascomycota; Dothideomycetes; Gloniales; Gloniaceae
Description: SSU rRNA
Rfam family: Eukaryotic small subunit ribosomal RNA
Source: RNAcentral
CUAUACGGUGAAACUGCGAAUGGCUCAUUAAAUCAGUUAUCGUUUAUUUGAUAGUACCUUACUACUUGGAUAACCGUGGUAAUUCUAGAGCUAAUACAUGCUGAAAACCCCGACUUCGGGAGGGGUGUAUUUAUUAGAUAAAAAACCAACGCCCUUCGGGGCUUCUUGGUGAUUCAUGAUAACUUAACGAAUCGCAUGGCCUUGCGCCGGCGAUGGUUCAUUCAAAUUUCUGCCCUAUCAACUUUCGAUGGUAGGAUAGUGGCCUACCAUGGUAUCAACGGGUAACGGGGAAUUAGGGUUCUAUUCCGGAGAGGGAGCCUGAGAAACGGCUACCACAUCCAAGGAAGGCAGCAGGCGCGCAAAUUACCCAAUCCCGACACGGGGAGGUAGUGACAAUAAAUACUGAUACAGGGCUCUUUUGGGUCUUGUAAUUGGAAUGAGUACAAUUUAAAUCCCUUAACGAGGAACAAUUGGAGGGCAAGUCUGGUGCCAGCAGCCGCGGUAAUUCCAGCUCCAAUAGCGUAUAUUAAAGUUGUUGCAGUUAAAAAGCUCGUAGUUGAACCUUGGGCCUGGCUGGCCGGUCCGCCUCACCGCGUGCACUGGUCCGGCCGGGCCUUUCCUUCUGGGGAGCCGCAUGCCCUUCACUGGGUGUGUCGGGGAACCAGGACUUUUACUUUGAAAAAAUUAGAGUGUUCAAAGCAGGCCUUUGCUCGGAUACAUUAGCAUGGAAUAAUAGAAUAGGACGUGCGGUCCUAUUUUGUUGGUUUCUAGGACCGCCGUAAUGAUUAAUAGGGAUAGUCGGGGGCAUCAGUAUUCAAUUGUCAGAGGUGAAAUUCUUGGAUUUAUUGAAGACUAACUACUGCGAAAGCAUUUGCCAAGGAUGUUUUCAUUAAUCAGUGAACGAAAGUUAGGGGAUCGAAGACGAUCAGAUACCGUCGUAGUCUUAACCGUAAACUAUGCCGACUAGGGAUCGGGCGAUGUUAUCAUUUUGACUCGCUCGGCACCUUACGAGAAAUCAAAGUC